This is a long non-coding RNA of Ipomoea nil (Japanese morning glory), 466 nucleotides long. RefSeq lists it as uncharacterized. The record is from RefSeq and is a predicted model, not a curated record. NCBI's taxonomy places the organism in Eukaryota, Viridiplantae, Streptophyta, Magnoliopsida, Solanales, Convolvulaceae. The transcript is spliced from 3 exons.
GAGUAGUCUAGUGGUUCCUCUAUUUCUUACCGGCAAGCAGAGCAACGACGACACCUUUCUCCUUUCAUCUCUAGUCGACGGCGACGACUAGAUCGUGACCGGCAAGCUUCUAGCGACGAAGUUUCCUCCCGCGGUGGUUGGACCAAAAGCAGUUGCGGCGGCUGGACCUCCUUCGGUGAGCAGCGGCUAUGGGCGGUGGAGGUUCGCGGUGUUGUGACUUGAGCUGUGGUUGCCGGUAGUGUGGUGUGGUUAGGAGGGGUGGUGUCGAAGCUUCCCUUUUCCGGCAAAGUUGUGGACGAAGCUGAGGUGAGGUUCUUGUUGAAGUGACUAACUUAUAAGUUGAGCCUAGAUUGGGUGCUGGCUUUGAGAGCUUAGCUUGAGGCACAGAUGAUUAGCCACCGGAGCGCACUAGAGGACCUCGGCUUAGAUAGUUAGUCUUUUUUUUCGGCCUGCGUGCCUUGAUGAU